Molecule: ribosomal RNA, 484 nt
Filed under: uncultured bacterium
Lineage: Bacteria
Description: partial 16S ribosomal RNA
Rfam family: Bacterial small subunit ribosomal RNA
Source: RNAcentral
AUUGAACGCUAGCGGGAUGCUUUACACAUGCAAGUCGAACGGCAGCGCGGACUUCGGUCUGGCGGCGAGUGGCGAACGGGUGAGUAAUGUAUCGGAACGUGCCCAGUAGCGGGGGAUAACUACGCGAAAGCGUAGCUAAUACCGCAUACGCCCUACGGGGGAAAGCAGGGGAUCGUAAGACCUUGCACUAUUGGAGCGGCCGAUAUCGGAUUAGCUAGUUGGUGAGGUAACGGCUCACCAAGGCGACGAUCCGUAGCUGGUUUGAGAGGACGACCAGCCACACUGGGACUGAGACACGGCCCAGACUCCUACGGGAGGCAGCAGUGGGGAAUGUUGGACAAAGGGGGCAACCCUGAUCCAGCCAUCCCGCGUGUGCGAUGAAGGCCUUCGGGUUGUAAAGCACUUUUGGCAGGAAAGAAACGUCGCGGGCUAAUACCCCGUGGAACUGACGGUACCUGCAGAAUAAGCACCGGCUAACUACGUG